RNAcentral lists this long non-coding RNA (2639 nucleotides) under Salvia miltiorrhiza (redroot sage). Its description in RNAcentral is "long non-coding RNA (SMIL_LNC005232)". The record is from RNAcentral. Lineage: Eukaryota; Viridiplantae; Streptophyta; Magnoliopsida; Lamiales; Lamiaceae.
AGAAAAACUCAUUCUUAUAUUUGUUUACAAUUCACAGAUUCCAACAACAUCACCAAAUCAAGGUUACUCUAAUUUCCCCUACUUCUAUCUACUAAUUCGAAACCAAGCAUCACAGAUCAGCAGCAAAUACACACGCUCACGCACACUUUCUUUUACUAUAUUUUCUGUAUUAUAUGACUACAAGAUGUGUUUGGGUAAGGAAAUACAAGAAUAGAAAGAACAAAUUUUGAAAACCUAAGUGCUCUAUGUGUAAACUGAAAAUUUGAGCUUUUUGUGUCUCUGUGUGCGUGUGACCGGGGACGGAGGGAAGAGUGAGAGCAGCCGGCGGCUGUUCACGGCCGGAGACGGCGCGGCGGCAAGCCACCGCCUUUUUCCUUUUCUGUCUGAAACGACCGAGAGAGAGAGAGAGAGAGAGAUUAAGUUUUUUUUUAAAAAAAAGGGGAAGAGAGAGAGAGAGAAGGGAGGACUCAUCUUCUCCGGUGACGACGACGCGGCGGCAUCGGCAGCGGCGACACGGCGGCGGAAGCACCAUGGUUGUUCUGUUCGGACGGAAAAGAGGAAAAGAGGAAAAGAGGUCAGAUUUGGUUAGAAAAAAAAGAAAAGAGGAGAAAGGAGGAAGUUUUGGAGCCUACCUUUCCGGCGAGGCAAAGCUCGGCCUCCACCGCGAUUUCAGCCACGACGGACGACGGCGGAGGCGGCAGUGACACGCGAAGGCGGCGGCGUGCGGCUGACUUCCGGCGAGGAAGAGUGAGAGAGGUGAAGAAAGAACAGAGAGACGAGAGGGAGAGAAGAGGUGACCGAGGGAGUGAGGGGGAGAGCGGAGAGUCCGACGAGGCGGCGCGCCGGAGGCGGCGCCGCACUCGACCGAACAGAGCAGAGAGAGGGAGAGAGCCGGGAGAGAGAGAGAGAAUGAGGCUGUGUGUGUAUUUGUGUAUUAUGUGUGUGUUGUAGGAUUAGGGCUUUAUUUUUAUUUGGGCUUAAGCCUCUAAUGGUUGGGCCGAGUUUUUUAAAAAAAAAGGGAGAAGGGAAUGGGCCGUUUCUUUUAGUGUACUGGGCCUUUUGAUUUUAAAAGCUGAUGGGUUUUGAUUUAAAUUGAUUGGGCCUCAAUUUAAUUAAUUUUUGGGCUGUUAUAGAUUAUUAAAGUCUACGAAUUUUAGCCUAAUUUCUUGUGUAAAUGUUUGAAUUUUCACUAAAUUAUUUUAGUGAAUUUAAAUCUCUUGAUUUAAAUUUUUAAUAUUGAAAGUUGAGACUAUUUAUUUUAAAUGGAGUCCGUUUUUUUUAUUUAAAUUUAUUGAUGGACUUAAAAGAAAUAUUUUGGGAUUAAGCCCUCAUUUAUUAUAAUACUUCUAGGCCUUAUGAGUAUGGAUUUCUGAAAGGAUUAAAAUGAUUUAUUUAAGUUAUUGUAAAGGAAUAAUGGUGCAUGAUUUCUUUUAUCUUGUUUGAUUAUGUGAUUUACGUGAGGUCAUGAUUAAUCAAGUUUAUGUUGGUUUUUAAUUGUCUUAAUGGAACGAACUAUGGAUGCUAGAACCCUAAAACUUUAAAAGAUACCUUAGGCACGUAGAAUUAGACUUUGUCUUAUGACAAUUUCUUCACGAACUUAUCGAUUCUUCAUCAAUGAAGGUCCGGGCGACAGAAAGUGAAGCCGAAGAAGUAGCGACUCCACGCCAGCUUUAAGAACCUUUAAGGUGGGCAUUAUUUUAUUAUUACGUAUAUAGAGAUCCCCUGCGUGAAGUAGGCCUCGUAUGCGAAUAUAUAUGCAUGAUAUGAUUUAACUGUUUAAUUCAGUUUUAUGAAAUGCCCAAACGAUAAAUGACUCUUAUGAAAUGAAAAUGAAAAUGUUUAUGGAAAUGAAAUGUUACGAAAUGAUUGACUGCCAAAAAUGUUUAUGUUUUUAUAUGUAUCCUAUCUGUGUUGGUUCGCCAACUUUAAAGGAAAUCCAAUUGGGAUCCUAUGCUAGACAAAGGUCGCUAGCUAGGGUUAACGUGUACACUUAUGGAGACCGCGAGUCGCUUGCGACCGGUCUUGGCGUCCGUGGUAAGGAGGCCUCCUUCCCGGCGCGUGACAGAAAGGACAGAUAUGGAUCAUAUAGACUGAAAAUGGGAUGCAUCCACCUUUAUGAAAAUGAAAGAAAUAUUUUAGUAAGCGCAGGUCAUUCAAGAAAACCCCUGUGUGUUACUGUUGGCAGUUCAAUUUAUAUAUGUAUGCAUGUUUGUUUUUCGGCUUAUGCCACUGAGUAUUUUUAUACUCAGCCCUGCAUGUAUUUCUAAAUGUGCAGGUUGAGCAGGCGAUGGAAUGGUUUGGUGUUGAGCGGGAAUUCUUUUGAUGGAUAUGUAAUGAAACCUUGAGUAUGCAUCUCCAUAUGCAUAACUCACACGUUUUUCCGCUGCAAACACUCUGAAUUCAUUAUCGUAUUGUGGAACUUAUUACUCUUUCAUUUUGCUUAACUUUCACUUGUUCUAGUUGUUAUGGCAUAAUCGUCUGUAAAUUACCCAACCAGUUGUUUAUGUAUUACUAGUUGGUUGAUUAAAUAUUACCUCCUUGGAAUUCGUGUCUAAUCCCCUUUCUUUCCCGCUUCUGAAUUCCCACCCCGAGUCAUAACCCCGGUUAAUCCGUCCUUAGGGAUAAGGGGGCUGUGACAG